Carassius gibelio (silver crucian carp) is the source of this 775-nucleotide long non-coding RNA. RefSeq lists it as uncharacterized. The record is from RefSeq and is a predicted model, not a curated record. The transcript is spliced from 3 exons. Lineage: Eukaryota; Metazoa; Chordata; Actinopteri; Cypriniformes; Cyprinidae.
AAAUCAAAAUACAGAUUUCAAAAGGCCUGAUUUUAUAGUGAGACAUUUUUACUUUAGGUUUGGAUAUAAGGAUGAGGAGCUUAAAUGAGAAAAAGUGAAUGGGUUAUUGAUGAUAGAUGGAUUUACAGUAGAUAUGGAUGGCUGAAUGAAGAGUUUGAUUUGAGAUGAAUGAUGGAUGGAUUUUCGAUACACUGUUGUAUUGUGGCAGGAUGGAUGAAGGGUUUGGUUUCGGUUGAUGGAUGAAUGGAUGAGGUGUUUGAUUGGUUUAGAAUUGGUUUGGAUAAGGUGUUUGGUCAUGGAUUGAUAGAUAUAUGUAUGAUAUAUGGAUGAGGUGUUUGACUGGUUUGAAUAGGUUGUUUGGUGAUGGAUUGAUGGACAGAGAAGUUGUUUGAUUGGUUUUGGAUGGGUGGACGGAUGAGGUGUUUGGUUGGUUUUGGAUGGACGGAUAAGGUGCUUGAUUGGUUUUGGAUGGACGGAUGAGGUGUUUGAUUGGAUUUGGAUGGACGGAUGAGGUGUUUGAUUGGUUUUGGAUGGGCGGAUGAGGUGUUUGAUUGGUUUUGGAUGGACGGAUGAGGUGUUUGAUUGGAUUUGGAUGGACGGAUGAGGUGUUUGAUUGGUUUUGGAUGGGCGGAUGAGGUGUUUGAUUGGUUUUGGAUGGGCGGAUGAGGUGUUUGAUUGGUUUUGGAUGGGCGGAUGAGGUGUUUGAUUGGUUUUGGAUGGACGGAUGAGGUGUUUGAUUGGUUUUGGAUGGACGGAUGAGGUGUUUGAUUGGUUU